GGAUGCGAUCAUACCAGCACUAAAGCACCGGAUCCCAUCAGAACUCCGUAGUUAAGCGUGCUUGGGCGAGAGUAGUACUAGGAUGGGUGACCUCCUGGGAAGUCCUCGGGUUACAUUCC
RNAcentral lists this ribosomal RNA (119 nucleotides) under Triticum aestivum (bread wheat). Lineage: Eukaryota; Viridiplantae; Streptophyta; Magnoliopsida; Poales; Poaceae. The record is from RNAcentral.